Molecule: long non-coding RNA, 544 nt
Filed under: Theobroma cacao (cacao)
Lineage: Eukaryota; Viridiplantae; Streptophyta; Magnoliopsida; Malvales; Malvaceae
Description: long non-coding RNA (TCAC_LNC000991)
Source: RNAcentral
CUUUGCUCAUUUCCACCAUAAUUUUAAAUUAGACUAGACAUUAGAUUUAGAGUUAAAACGAAGCUUGAAUUUAUUGACCUACUAGUUUCAACUUAACCAAUCUAAAAUUUGUGUUUCUAUCUUUGUAGCUUGUCCGGUUUCGAAAGCCGGGAGUUUUGAUUAGAUAUCACUCCCAUUGUUUAUUGAAGGAAUAAAAUGGUUGAAUUACGGUUGAGGUUGUAAGAUUGCUAUAUAAUUGUGAGGGUUGAGGUCGGAAGCUUAUCUAAUAAACUGCCUUGUCGAGGUUGAAAGUUGACAUUAUAAAUCAUGUUUUAAUUGUUGAUGUUGAGGAAUUUCUAUUGAAAUGUAAAUUGAGGAAAUCAACUUGUUGAAAUUGUGAAGUUGUCAUAGAAAGCUUGUUUUAAGCAAGAUGGUGAAAAAUUAAUAUCACGACCCGGUACUCCCCUCGAGCCCGUGACAACCGUCGCGAUGUCCUAAUCGACACUCAUCACCCGGAAUGUCAAUCGGAACCCCGCAAGGUUUUAAUAUCAGUUUCUCAUUUUCC